UUAGCAAAGUUUCCUUUUUUUGCUGUUGUUGUUGGGGUGGAGGGUGGAGAGUAUAGGGAGACAAGGCCACUUGGCAAGUCUCCUGAGAGGGUUGGGGGCUUGGGGUUGCUGCCUCCUGGGCUGGGGCAAGAGGAGUCCCAACUUUUGUUGGACAAACUCUCAAGCCCCGAUUCCUUGAUUUCUGAGUGCGCCCUUCAAGGACCUGUCUCGGCGCCAGAACUGGGCAGGGCCAUGCCCCCCCCCGCCUUCCACAUUUAGUUUCCGAAAAUGAAAAGCCCCCUUGGUCUGGGAGAGCCUUUUGUGCUGUCCGGGGUAUGUAGUGACAGUCAUGGUGUGUGUGGAGGGUGUGGUCUGGGCCUCUCUGGUCUCCUUUGGGGGUGCGUCCAGGUGGAGUCCUGCCCAGCCAGCAGCCUCCACGCCCUCCAGCCCCACGCAGGCUCAGGGGAGCAGCAUCUUAGGGCUGUGGGCUGCUCUGGGGGACCUGCUCUGCUGCUUGUGCUGACAGGCUGCACCCCACACCUUGGGAUUCCAGAACAUUGGACAGGGCGCUCAAUCCCACCUGGCUCCCCGCCCCUUGCACAGAGUAACUCCCAGUGCCCAGAGAGGUUGAUGCUGAGACUUCCUUGGGGCCGGAGGGCCCCCUGAGGCCUCUGGGAGGAGAUGGACCAGCCGCAGCUACAGGUGUGUGCUGGCUGUGCCCUUGUCCCACCUCAAUGUGACCUGGCUGCCUGGGCUUCAGCUAUUCUUGGUCAUUGUCCCUAUCUUGCCCCCCCAAACCCCCCAUUGGCUUCUUGAUGCUCUGGGCAUUCCCAGGCACUGUCCUGCCUCUGAGCCCCCACACAUGCUGUUCCCUCAGCCCUUUUCCCUCCCCUGGCGACUCUCAUUCCUCCUCCUCCACUACCUUCACCUCCACCUGGGUCCAGCCUGCCUGGUCUCCCAGAGGGACCUGAGCCUUCCUCCGUGCCCCCCUCCCCGGUGCCCUCCUGCCUUCAGCCUUCCUCCGCAUCCACAGCCACAGCAGGGGCAGGUUUCACCACCGGGUUUUGUACCUGCAGCCCCGGCCCAGCUUCUCCCAGGCUGGCCGCUGGGUCCUCUGCAGUGAUGACCCUGCACCUGGCACCCAGGAAAAGCUCAAUAAACUUUUGCAAAAU
Long non-coding RNA from Myotis davidii, 1151 nucleotides. RefSeq lists it as uncharacterized. The transcript has 2 exons. Lineage: Eukaryota; Metazoa; Chordata; Mammalia; Chiroptera; Vespertilionidae. The record is from RefSeq and is a predicted model, not a curated record.